RNAcentral lists this ribosomal RNA (1063 nucleotides) under uncultured Bacteroidales bacterium. Its description in RNAcentral is "bacterial SSU rRNA". It matches the Rfam family "Bacterial small subunit ribosomal RNA", at positions 32 to 1087 of the family's 1533-position model. Lineage: Bacteria; Pseudomonadati; Bacteroidota; Bacteroidia; Bacteroidales. The record is from RNAcentral.
AACGCUAGCUACAGGCUUAACACAUGCAAGUCGAGGGGCAGCAUUAUCGAAGCUUGCUUUGGUAGAUGGCGACCGGCGCACGGGUGAGUAACGCGUAUCCAACCUUCCCCAUAGUAGGGCAUAGCCCGUAGAAAUGCGGAUUAAUACCCUAUGUAUUCCGAGGAUGACAUCUGAUUCGGAACAAAGGUUCACCGCUAUGGGAUGGGGAUGCGUCUGAUUAGGUAGUAGGCGGGGUAACGGCCCACCUAGCCGACGAUGGAUAGGGGUUCUGAGAGGAAGUUCCCCCACACUGGAACUGAGACACGGUCCAAACUCCUACGGGAGGCAGCAGUGAGGAAUAUUGGUCAAUGGGCGAGAGCCUGAACCAGCCAAGUAGCGUGCAGGAAGACGGCCCUAUGGGUUGUAAACUGCUUUUAUACAGGGAUAAAGUCGGGGACGCGUUCCCCGUUUGCAGGUACUGUAUGAAUAAGGACCGGCUAAUUCCGUGCCAGCAGCCGCGGUAAUACGGAAGGUCCGGGCGUUAUCCGGAUUUAUUGGGUUUAAAGGGAGCGCAGGCCGAUUAUUAAGCGUGACGUGAAAUGUAGAUGCUCAACAUCUGAACUGCGUCGCGAACUGGUAGUCUUGAGUGAGUUCGAUGUGGGCGGAAUUCGUGGUGUAGCGGCGAAAUGCUUAGAUAUCACGAAGAACUCCGAUUGCGAAGGCAGCCCACAAGGCCUUUACUGACGCUAAAGCUCGAAGGUGCGGGUAUCGAACAGGAUUAGAUACCCUGGUAGUCCGCACGGUAAACGAUGGAUGCCCGCUGUUUGCGAUAUACUGUGAGCGGCCAAGAGAAAUCGUUAAGCAUCCCACCUGGGGAGUACGCCGGCAACGGUGAAACUCAAAGGAAUUGACGGGGGCCCGCACAAGCGGAGGAACAUGUGGUUUAAUUCGAUGAUACGCGAGGAACCUUACCCGGGCUUGAACUGCAGCGGAAGGAAACAGAGAUGUUGACGUCCUUCGGGACCGCUGUGGAGGUGCUGCAUGGUUGUCGUCAGCUCGUGCCGUGAGGUGUCGGCUUAAGUGC